GGCGCAGCUAACGCAAUAAGUAGACCGCCUGGGGAGUACGGCCGCAAGGUUAAAACUCAAAUGAAUUGACGGGGGCCCGCACAAGCGGUGGAGCAUGUGGUUUAAUUCGACGCAACGCGAAGAACCUUACCUACUCUUGAAAUCCAGAGAAUUCGCUAGAGAUAGCUUAGUGCCUUCGGGAACUCUGUGACAGGUGCUGCAUGGCUGUCGUCAGCUCGUGUUGUGAAAUGUUGGGUUAAGUCCCGUAACGAGCGCAACCCUUGUCCUUAUUUGCCAGCACAUAAUGGUGGGAACUCUAAGGAGACUGCCGGUGACAAACCGGAGGAAGGUGGGGACGACGUCAAGUCAUCAUGGCCCUUACGAGUAGGGCUACACACGUGCUACAAUGGCCGGUACAGAGGGCUGCAACCCCGCGAGGGUGAGCUAAUCUCAGAAAACCGGUCGUAGUCCGGAUUGGAGUCUGCAACUCGACUCCAUGAAGUCGGAAUCGCUAGUAAUCGCGAAUCAGAAUGUCGCGGUGAAUACGUUCCCGGGCCUUGUACACACCGCCCGUCACACCAUGGGAGUGGAUUGCACCAGAAGUAGCUAGCUUAACCUUCGGGAGGGCGGUUACCACGGUGUGGUUCAUGACUGGGGUGAAGUCGUAACAAGGUAGCCCUAGGGGAACCUGGGGCUG
This 676-nucleotide ribosomal RNA is filed under the name uncultured bacterium. RNAcentral describes it as "bacterial SSU rRNA". It matches the Rfam family "Bacterial small subunit ribosomal RNA", at positions 845 to 1520 of the family's 1533-position model. The record is from RNAcentral.